Molecule: ribosomal RNA, 780 nt
Filed under: Neocallimastix frontalis
Lineage: Eukaryota; Fungi; Neocallimastigomycota; Neocallimastigomycetes; Neocallimastigales; Neocallimastigaceae
Description: partial large subunit ribosomal RNA
Rfam family: Eukaryotic large subunit ribosomal RNA
Source: RNAcentral
GCAUAUCAAUAAGCGGAGGAAAAGAAACUAACAAGGAUUCCCUUAGUAACGGCGAGUGAAGCGGGAAGAGCUCAAAUUUGAAAUCUUCAAGGUUCUACCUUGACGAAUUGUAGUUUAAAGAAGUGUUUUCUGUUAGAUGAGUAGCAAAAGUUCCUUGGAAUGGGACAUCAUAGAGGGUGAGAAUCCCGUAUUUGGUUAUUCAUUCUAGCUUUGUGAUACACUUUCAAAGAGUCGGAUUGUUUGGGAAUGCAGUCCAAAAUGGGUGGUAAAUUUCAUCUAAAGCUAAAUAUUGGCGAGAGACCGAUAGCGAACAAGUACCGUGAGGGAAAGAUGAAAAGAACUUUGAGAAGAGAGUUAAACAGUACGUGAAAUUGUCAAAAGGGAAGCGUUCGACACCAGUGUUGUUUUUCCAAAAAUCAAUUACGAAUGGCUUGAUUUUGUGUUGUAUUGACCUUAUCAGCUUUCUGCACUUUUUUCGAGUCUUUCUUAAUGCACUUUAUGGUUAACAAGUCAACAUCAAUUUCUUUUGUUGUAAAAGAGUAUUCGGAAGGUGGCUUUCUUUUCGGAGAAAGUGUUUAUAGCCCUAUACUUCUACAAUCGGAGAGAUUGAGGUCUGCAGCGUAGAUCCUUCGGGGUUAGAUACACUUGUGCUAAGUUGUAGCUUUUCAUAGACAACUUGUUGACUAUGUUUAGUCAUGCGGCUUACUCGCUUGUGCUAUUUUACCUACGCUUAGGAUGUUGACAAAAUGGUUUUAAACGACCCGUCUUGAAACACGGACC